UGUAGUCAUAUGCUUGUCUCAAAGAUUAAGCCAUGCAUGUCUAAGUAUAAGCAAUUAUACAGCGAAACUGCGAAUGGCUCAUUAAAUCAGUUAUCGUUUAUUUGAUAGUACCUUACUACAUGGAUAACCGUGGUAAUUCUAGAGCUAAUACAUGCUAAAAAUCCCGACUUCGGAAGGGAUGUAUUUAUUAGAUUAAAAACCAAUGCCCUUCGGGGCUCUCUGGUGAUUCAUAAUAACUUCUCGAAUCGCACGGCCUUGCGCUGGCGAUGGUUCAUUCAAAUUUCUGCCCUAUCAACUUUCGACGGCUGGGUCUUGGCCAGCCAUGGUGACAACGGGUAACGGGGA
This 345-nucleotide ribosomal RNA is filed under the name uncultured fungus. RNAcentral's name for it is "SSU rRNA". It matches the Rfam family "Eukaryotic small subunit ribosomal RNA", at positions 21 to 368 of the family's 1831-position model. Lineage: Eukaryota; Fungi. The record is from RNAcentral.